UGGGGAAUAUUGCACAAUGGGCGCAAGCCUGAUGCAGCCAUGCCGCGUGUAUGAAGAAGGCCUUCGGGUUGUAAAGUACUUUCAGCGGGGAGGAAGGGAGUAAAGUUAAUACCUUUGCUCAUUGACGUUACCCGCAGAAGAAGCCCCGGCUAACUCCGUGCCAGCAGCCGCGGUAAUACGGAGGGUGCAAGCGUUAAUCGGAAUUACUGGGCGUAAAGCGCAGGCAGGCGGUUUGUUAAGUCAGAUGUGAAAUCCCCGGGCUCAACCUGGGAACUGCAUCUGAUACUGGCAAGCUGGAGUCUCGUAGAGGGGGGUAGAAGUCCAGGUGUAGCGGUGAAAUGCGUAGAGAUCUGGAGGAAUACCGGUGGCGAAGGCGGCCCCCUGGACGAAGACUGACGCUCAGGUGCGAAAGCGUGGGGAGCAAACAGG
This 429-nucleotide ribosomal RNA is filed under the name Chloroflexota bacterium. Its description in RNAcentral is "Chloroflexi bacterium partial 16S ribosomal RNA". It matches the Rfam family "Bacterial small subunit ribosomal RNA", at positions 355 to 776 of the family's 1533-position model. The record is from RNAcentral. Lineage: Bacteria; Bacillati; Chloroflexota.